This 323-nucleotide long non-coding RNA is filed under the name Sinocyclocheilus grahami. RNAcentral describes it as "lncRNA (ENSSGRG00000028417.1)". Lineage: Eukaryota; Metazoa; Chordata; Actinopteri; Cypriniformes; Cyprinidae. The record is from RNAcentral.
CGAGGGAUAGGCCGACACUUAAACUCCCACACCAAGUCAAAAGAUAUCUUUUGAUCAACUGGAUGAUCGACAAACAAGUAUGGCGUCUGCCUCGAGUAGGGGUUUCUGCACACGUUGCCAUCAGGACUGAAUUUACUGAGGCAGAAAGAGUCUCAAGUCUCUCUCGUUCCAGGCUGAGAAUCAGUGCCACAUUGAUUUUCCUAUCAAUGGACAUUAUCAUAGAUCAGGCAUCUGCUAGCACUGGCCUCAAUCCAUGUGCCGCCUGUUGCCACGGGGACAGAGAGAUUUCAUCACUCCUCGCUCUCUAACAGACAGACAGACAG